RNAcentral lists this ribosomal RNA (508 nucleotides) under uncultured bacterium. RNAcentral's name for it is "partial 16S ribosomal RNA". The record is from RNAcentral.
GGAGUUAGCCGGUGCUUCUUCUGCGAGUAACGUCACAGAUGUAAGGUAUUAACUUACACCCUUUCCUCCUCGCUGAAAGUGCUUUACAACCCGAAGGCCUUCUUCACACACGCGGCAUGGCUGCAUCAGGGUUUCCCCCAUUGUGCAAUAUUCCCCACUGCUGCCUCCCGUAGGAGUCUGGGCCGUGUCUCAGUCCCAGUGUGGCUGAUCAUCCUCUCAGACCAGCUAGGGAUCGUCGCCUAGGUGAGCCUUUACCUCACCUACUAGCUAAUCCCACCUGGGCUUAUCCAUCAGCGCAAGGCCCGAAGGUCCCCUGCUUUCCCCCGUAGGGCGUAUGCGGUAUUAGCAGUCGUUUCCAACUGUUAUCCCCCACAAAUGGGCAAAUUCCCAGGCAUUACUCACCCGUCCGCCGCUCGUCAUCUUCAAAGCAAGCUUUUGAAUGUUACCGCUCGACUUGCAUGUGUUAGGCCUGCCGCCAGCGUUCAAUCUGACCAAGAUCAAAUUCUGA